This 402-nucleotide ribosomal RNA is filed under the name uncultured Rubellimicrobium sp. RNAcentral describes it as "bacterial SSU rRNA". It matches the Rfam family "Bacterial small subunit ribosomal RNA", at positions 355 to 774 of the family's 1533-position model. Lineage: Bacteria; Pseudomonadati; Pseudomonadota; Alphaproteobacteria; Rhodobacterales; Roseobacteraceae. The record is from RNAcentral.
UGGGGAAUCUUAGACAAUGGGCGCAAGCCUGAUCUAGCCAUGCCGCGUGGGUGAUGAAGGCCUUAGGGUCGUAAAGCCCUUUCGCCGGGGAAGAUAAUGACGGUACCCGGUAAAGAAACCCCGGCUAACUCCGUGCCAGCAGCCGCGGUAAUACGGAGGGGGUUAGCGUUGUUCGGAAUGACUGGGCGUAAAGCGCGCGUAGGCGGGCAUUUAAGUCGGGGGUGAAAUCCCGGGGCUCAACCCCGGAAUGGCCUUCGAUACUGGGUGCCUAGAGUUCGAGAGAGGUGAGUGGAAUUCCGAGUGUAGAGGUGAAAUUCGUAGAUAUUCGGAGGAACACCAGUGGCGAAGGCGGCUCACUGGCUCGACACUGACGCUGAGGUGCGAAAGCGUGGGGAGCAAACA